This 958-nucleotide ribosomal RNA is filed under the name uncultured bacterium. Its description in RNAcentral is "bacterial SSU rRNA". It matches the Rfam family "Bacterial small subunit ribosomal RNA", at positions 535 to 1501 of the family's 1533-position model. The record is from RNAcentral.
GGGGGGGGUGUCGGAGUACUGGGCGUAAGCGCACGCAGGCGGUCGUGUAAGUUUGGGGUUACAGCUCCCGGCUCAACUGGGAGAGCGCCUUGAAGACUGCAGGACUUGAGGACCAGAGAGGGACACAGAAUUCCGGGUGUAGUGGUGAAAUGCGUAGAUAUCCGGAGGAAUACCAAAGGCGAAGGCAGUGUCCUGGCUGGUGACUGACGCUGAGGUGCGAAAGCUAGGGGAGCGAACGGGAUUAGAUACCCCGGUAGUCCUAGCCGUAAACGAUGACCACUAGGUGUGGGAGGUAUCGACCCCUUCCGUGCCGCAGCUAACGUGAUAAGUGGUCCGCCUGGGGAGUACGGUCGCAAGAUUAAAACUCAAAGGAAUUGACGGGGACCCGCACAAGCAGCGGAGCGUGUGGUUUAAUUCGAAGCAACGCGAAGAACCUUACCAGGGUUUGACAUGGAUGCGCACCAUCCAGAGAUGGGUGUGCCCGCAAGGGACGCAUUCACAGGUGCUGCAUGGCUGUCGUCAGCUCGUGCCGUGAGGUGUUGGGUUAAGUCCCGCAACGAGCGCAACCCUUGUCGUCGGUUGGAUUUCUCCGACGAGACUGCCGCGAUCAACGUGGAGGAAGGUGGGGAUGACGUCAAGUCAGCACGGCCCUUACAUCCUGGGCGACACACACGCUACAAUGGCCGGUACAGAGGGUGGCCAACCCGCGAGGGGGAGCUAAUCCCAGCAAAACCGGUCUCAGUUCGGAUUGUAGGCUGCAACCCGCCUGCAUGAAGUUGGAGUUGCUAGUAACCGUGAGUCAGCACAUCACGGUGAAUACGUUCCCGGGUCUUGUACACACCGCCCGUCACACCACGAAAGUCGGCAACACCUGAAGCCGCUGGGCUAACCCCUUCAGUGGGGAGGCAGGCGUCGAGGGUGGGGUUGGUGAUUGGGGUGAAGUCGUAACAAGGUAACC